This 301-nucleotide ribosomal RNA is filed under the name uncultured bacterium. RNAcentral describes it as "partial 16S ribosomal RNA". It matches the Rfam family "Bacterial small subunit ribosomal RNA", at positions 509 to 807 of the family's 1533-position model. The record is from RNAcentral.
CAGCCGCCGCGGGAAUACGAAGGGGGCUAGCGUUGCUCGGAAUGACUGGGCGUAAAGGGCGCGUAGGCGGCGGCCAAAGUCAGGCGUGAAAUUCCCGGGCUCAACCUGGGGGCUGCGCUUGAUACUUGGUUGCUUGAGUGGGGAAGAGGGUCGUGGAAUUCCCAGUGUAGAGGUGAAAUUCGUAGAUAUUGGGAAGAACACCGGUGGCGAAGGCGGCGACCUGGUCCUUUACUGACGCUGAGGCGCGAAAGCGCGGGGAGCAAACAGGAUUAGAUACCCCCGUAGUCCCUGUCUCUUAUAC